UACAGAGGGUGCAAGCGUUAAUCGGAAUUACUGGGCGUAAGGCGCGCGUAGGUGGUUCGUUAAGUUGGAUGUGAAAGCCCCGGGCUCAACCUGGGAACUGCAUUCAAAACUGACGAGCUAGAGUAUGGUAGAGGGUGGUGGAAUUUCCUGUGUAGCGGUGAAAUGCGUAGAUAUAGGAAGGAACACCAGUGGCGAAGGCGACCACCUGGACUGAUACUGACACUGAGGUGCGAAAGCGUGGGGAGCAAACAGG
Molecule: ribosomal RNA, 253 nt
Filed under: uncultured bacterium
Lineage: Bacteria
Description: partial 16S ribosomal RNA
Rfam family: Bacterial small subunit ribosomal RNA
Source: RNAcentral